This 423-nucleotide ribosomal RNA is filed under the name Gerris comatus. RNAcentral's name for it is "partial 16S ribosomal RNA". RNAcentral also lists the same sequence under 3 other names. Lineage: Eukaryota; Metazoa; Arthropoda; Insecta; Hemiptera; Gerridae. The record is from RNAcentral.
GAUAUGAACUCUCCGAAAAAAUUACGCUGUUAUCCCUAAGGUAAGUUAAUCUUAUAAUCAAAAAUUUUGGAUCAAAAAAACAUAAAUUAAUGAAUAAAAUAUUAAAAGUUAAAUAAAUUUUAAUGUCACCCCAACAAAACUUUAUAUUCUAAAAAAUUGUUUAAUAAACAAAAAACAAUAAUUAAUAAAUAAAGUAAACUUCUAUAGGGUCUUCUCGUCCUAUAAAAAAAUUUUAGCUUUUUAACUAAAAAAUUAAAUUCAAAAUAAUUAAAAAAAGAAAGUUUAUUUUUCAUCAAACCAUUCAUACUAGCCUUCAAUUAAAAGACAAAUGAUUAUGCUACCUUCGUACAGUUAAAAUACCGCAGCCUUUUAAUUCAUAAAAAUCAAUGGGCAGGCCUGAUCUUAAAUUAAAAUCAAAAGACC